AUGGCCACGGAGCUCUUCGCGCCGCACCGGCUCGACGCGCUCCACCACCUCCGGAGCGACAAGGUGAGGGAGCUCACGGACCACGUCGCACGGCUGGCGCGCGAGGGCACGGCGGUCUUCACGACGAGCCUGAACCUUAUCUCCCGCACCAUCUUCUCCAUCGACCUCGACGACCACGGCCGCUCCGAGGAUUUCCAGGAGGUGAUCACGGCCAUGAUGGAAGGCUUGGGCACCCCGAACGUGUCCGACUUCUUCCCGGUGCUCGCGCCGGCCGACCUGCAGGGCAUGCGCCGGCGCCUGGCGUGGAUCUUCGCGCGGCUGCACGCCGUGUUCGACGCCGAGGUGGACCAGAGGCUGCGCGGCCGCGACGCUGGCCAGCCCAGGAAGAACGACUACCUCGACGUGCUGCUCGACGUGGCGGCGCGUGACGAGGGAAAGGACCUGCUCGACCCUGAGACGCUACGCUCACAUUUCACGGUGACGCACAACUUUCUUCUUUGCGAUUGCAGCUGGUGUUUCAGUUUUCAACUCAUAUCUAGUAAAAGAUCAAAAUUAGUACACUCGAUGUAUUAUAUACCCUUUGAUUGA
Molecule: ribosomal RNA, 588 nt
Filed under: Triticum aestivum (bread wheat)
Lineage: Eukaryota; Viridiplantae; Streptophyta; Magnoliopsida; Poales; Poaceae
Description: partial small subunit ribosomal RNA
Source: RNAcentral